This 433-nucleotide ribosomal RNA is filed under the name uncultured bacterium. RNAcentral describes it as "partial 16S ribosomal RNA". It matches the Rfam family "Bacterial small subunit ribosomal RNA", at positions 29 to 507 of the family's 1533-position model. The record is from RNAcentral.
AACGAACGCUGGCGGCAUGCCUAACACAUGCAAGUCGAACGAGACCUUCGGGUCUAGUGGCGCACGGGUGCGUAACGCGUGGGAACCUGCCCUUAGGUUCGGAAUAACUCCCCGAAAGGGGUGCUAAUACCGGAUAAUGUCUUCGGACCAAAGAUUUAUCGCCUUUGGAUGGGCCCGCGUUGGAUUCGCUAGUUGGUAGGGUAAAAGCCUACCAAGGCGACGAUCCAUAGCUGGUCUGAGAGGAUGAUCAGCCACACUGGGACUGAGACACGGCCCAGACUCCUACGGGAGGCAGCAGUGGGGAAUAUUGGACGAUGGGCGAAAGCCUGAUCCAGCAAUGCCGCGGGAGUGAUGAAGGCCUUAGGGUUGUAAAGCUCUUCUACCCGGGAUGAUAAUGACAGUACCGGGAGAAUAAGCUCCGGCUAACUCCGUG